This is a microRNA precursor of Loxodonta africana (African savanna elephant), 83 nucleotides long. NCBI's taxonomy places the organism in Eukaryota, Metazoa, Chordata, Mammalia, Proboscidea, Elephantidae. The record is from Ensembl.
UUGGGUGUUCAAAAGGUGGAUAUUCCUUCUAUGUUUAUGUGAUUUAUGGUUAGCCGUAGGGGAAAAUCCACAUUUUUAGUAUC